This 215-nucleotide unclassified non-coding RNA is filed under the name Clostridioides difficile. RNAcentral describes it as "16S-23S ribosomal RNA intergenic spacer". The record is from RNAcentral. Lineage: Bacteria; Bacillati; Bacillota; Clostridia; Peptostreptococcales; Peptostreptococcaceae.
GCCUACUGUUUAAUUUUGAGGGUUCGUUUUUACGAAUACUCAAAAUUAGCACUUUAAGCAACGGGAUUUAUCCGUUGGCGCUGUGCUUUAGCACUUUGAAAACUGCAUAUAUAUUUAGUGAUAUGACAUCUAAUUUGUAAUAUAUAAAGCUGAUAACUUUUUAAAAUUAUCGAAGUUGAUAGCUUCUAAUCUAUCAAACCUUUUUAACUGGUCAA